AAAAAAGGUAAGCUACUAAGAGCGAAUGGUGGAUGCCUUGACUGGUAAAGGCGAUGAAGGACGUACUAGACUGCGAUAAGCUACGGGGAGCUGUCAAGAAGCUUUGAUCCGUAGAUUUCCGAAUGGGGCAACCCAAUGUAUAGAGAUAUACAUUACCUAUAUAGGAGCGAACGAGGGGAAUUGAAACAUCUUAGUACCCUCAGGAAAAGAAAUCAAUAGAGAUUGCGUCAGUAGCGGCGAGCGAAAGCGCAAGAGGGCAAACCCAGUGCUUGCACUGGGGGUUGUAGGACUGCAAUGUGCAAGAGGUAAGUUUAGCAGAACAUUCUGGAAAGUAUAACCAUAGAGGGUGAUAGUCCCGUAUGCGAAAAACAAACCUUAGCUAGCAGUAUCCUGAGUAGGGCGGGACACGAGGAAUCCUGUCUGAAUCCGGGUCGACCACGAUCCAACCCUAAAUACUAAUACCAGAUCGAUAGUGCACAAGUACCGUGAGGGAAAGGUGAAAAGAACUGAGGUGAUCAGAGUGAAAUAGAACCUGAAACCAUUUGCUUACAAUCAUUCAGAGCCUUAUGUAGCAAUACAGGGUGAUGGACUGCCUUUUGCAUAAUGAGCCUGCGAGUUGUGGUGUCUGGCAAGGUUAAGCAAACGCGAAGCCGUAGCGAAAGCGAGUCUGAAUAGGGCGCUUAGUCAGAUGCUGCAGACCCGAAACGAAGUGAUCUAUCCAUGAGCAAGUUGAAGCUAGUGUAAGAACUAGUGGAGGACUGAACCCAUAGGCGUUGAAAAGCCCCGGGAUGACUUGUGGAUAGGGGUGAAAGGCCAAUCAAACUUCGUGAUAGCUGGUUCUCUCCGAAAUAUAUUUAGGUAUAGCGUUGUGUCGUAAUAUAAGGGGGUAGAGCACUGAAUGGGCUAGGGCAUACACCAAUGUACCAAACCCUAUCAAACUCCGAAUACCUUAUAUGUAAUCACAGCAGUCAGGCGGCGAGUGAUAAAAUCCGUCGUCAAGAGGGAAACAACCCAGACUACCAGCUAAGGUCCCUAAAUCUUACUUAAGUGGAAAACGAUGUGAAGUUACUUAAACAACCAGGAGGUUGGCUUAGAAGCAGCCAUCCUUUAAAGAAAGCGUAAUAGCUCACUGGUCUAGUGAUUUUGCGCGGAAAAUAUAACGGGGCUAAAGUAAGUACCGAAGCUGUAGACUUGCGCACAACUUAGAUUAUUUAAGUUUAGAAUAUGAGAAACUAAGUUAUAUGUUUAGUUAUAUUUUUACUGAUUUUUAUAGAGUAAAGAUAGAAAUAAAACUUAGUAAAAUCAGUAAAAAUAUUCUUAGACUAAAGUUAAGUAGUUUAAGUUGUGUGCAAGUGGUAGGAGAGCGUUCUAUUUGCGUCGAAGGUAUACCGGUAAGGAGUGCUGGAGCGAAUAGAAGUGAGCAUGCAGGCAUGAGUAGCGAUAAUUAAUGUGAGAAUCAUUAACGCCGUAAACCCAAGGUUUCCUACGCGAUGCUCGUCAUCGUAGGGUUAGUCGGGUCCUAAGUCGAGUCCGAAAGGGGUAGACGAUGGCA
RNAcentral lists this ribosomal RNA (1552 nucleotides) under Campylobacter jejuni. RNAcentral describes it as "partial 23S ribosomal RNA". It matches the Rfam family "Bacterial large subunit ribosomal RNA", at positions 1 to 1423 of the family's 2925-position model. The record is from RNAcentral. Lineage: Bacteria; Pseudomonadati; Campylobacterota; Epsilonproteobacteria; Campylobacterales; Campylobacteraceae.